AGGCGGAAGGGCGUGUAAGCUAUCUGCCUUGGCCCUGUUGCGCUUCAUUUCGGUAGAACAUUAUCGCACGCGGAUCUCACUUUGCUGUGGUCUCAGACGGACUUUCCGUUCUUGAGGAAUGGAAAGAACAAUAAAGCACGUUACAGACAUUUGAAUUUAGUUGACAACAGCCAUACGUCCCUUAGGAUGGGACUGCGUUUGCGUAACCUUCUCCGAGCAACUCGCUAAACACUGCGCAUCCUGACGGAUUAAGUUUUUACUACUGCAAGUGGGAGCUUUUUGAGAUGCGGCGCGGCGGCCUGCCGCGGGAUGGAUGAGGAGUGGCUGGUGGUGGCCGCGUGUGUCGCCGUGGCGUCGCUCACCGUGCUGGCCGUGGUGGCCUGCUACGUGCGCGUCCUCUCCCAGCUGUGCUGCUCCACGAGGGACGUCCGCUGCAUAGGCUGGUGCUAAAACUGGAAAGCCUUUCCUGAGGAGGGCAUCAGGUGUUGGAAACGUCGAAGCACAGCGCGGAGUUGGUGCGGCCAGGAUGGAACCGCCUCACCUCCAGACAAGGGCAUCGCAGCCAGUUCGCCGGCUGGAACAACUCUGGACACGAAGAAGCCCUGCAGUGUUUCGGCAAUGAACUCCAGACCGAGCGUCCGCAACUAUGCGACGCUUUCACGGUGCAGUGUGCGUAAUGAGACUGUGGACCCUAUAGAUGGGACUCGUUUCUCAUAGGACGCUCAGUUCUGACGAGUUCUUGUCCGAGAGCGCACCUGCAGCAAUGGUGAAAGCCUAAGACGACGGAACUCUAUAAGUGCCUAUAUACACGCUCCUUAUGCCAUGUGCUAAAGAAGAACGCGAUAGCAUCUGUGUAUUUAAACGUACAGCAGUAUUAAACACAGAGCUAUCAUGGCGUCAAGUCUGGAAAGAGAGUAUGUAGUUCUUCGUUUGGAACUGCUACGGUAUAGACCGUGGUAGUGGGCAACACGGAAAGAAGAAAGCUGUGCUACUGUGAAAAGUUCUGAAUGAUCAGACGGCAGGAUAGGGGAAUCGAGAAGACUCAUCCGAAAAUACUUAUCCUCAGAGGACGAAUCUUCGUCUCAAAUUAUUUGAGAAUUAGCGACGGUAAUGACCGAUUCGUAGUUAACAUUAGAGUCGCUAUCCUGAUUCCUCGAGACCGAGUCGAGAGAACGAAGUUCAUUUAUGUUAUGGGUAAAAAUCCGGUCACUGUCAGUAUUGAGGUUUCUUAGGUUUUCAUUUCCGAUAUCUAUUCCGAAUUGAAAGCUCCAUCAUCGGGCUCUCUACGAUCUACUCGAGGUUUUUCGUCAUGACGUGUUUAAUCAGUCACAGUUGCAUAAUCUAUUUUGUGAGAAUCUGCUUCACUACUUGGAUGAAAUUCGCCACGAGCUACCAACGAAGCAGGUUCAUGAUAUAGACUUUACAACAUCAUGAAGGCAAUCUCGAGUAGACCCUGGAAACAAUCAUGAUAAAGCUUACAAUGAGAAAUACGAAGGGGAAAUAAAAAUCAGGAAAACCGAAAUACUGGCAGCUGCUAGACUUUUAUUCACAAAAUAUUAAUCCAUCGUUGUGUCAGUGUCGUAUAUGAAGAAAUUAUAGAUAAUUAAAAGAAAACGGGAGGCUGUCAGCAUGUUAUUUCCAGCGCAACUUCUCUUUAAAGUUCCAAUGGCACGUCUUUACUGUCAUGUUUUAAAGCACCGCAUAUUUACUGCGACAAUACGUUUGCUCUACACUCGUCAAGGCGCUCCACCAACAGUUUCCCGCUUUUCUUGCUCUGACCGCGAAUGACACGCGGGUAGAGCGAAUAUUCGUAAGCCUCCAUGUAGUCUCCAAUCUCUCCAGUUGUACCUCCGUGGUCUGUCCGCGACGUAUGAGAAACCAAUACGCUCGUUGUCUCUUCUAAGAAUAUACGCUUUCAGAAUUUCGUAAACUUCUCAGGGAUACGCAACGCCUCUCUUGUAGCAUCUGCGAAAGCAAUUGGAUGAACAUUUCCGCGACGCUUACGCACUUACUGAAUGAUCCCGUGGGCAACCAUAUCGCUAUUCUCUCAAUCUGCUGUAUUUUCUAUGGCAAUCCCGCUGAGGAAAUGAUAGGCAACUAUCGGUGGAAUGACGGUUUUGUAAGCUAUCUCCCUAGUGGGUGGAACACAUUUUGCGAGAUUUCUCUCAAAGAAUCUCAGUCUCGCAUCUGCCUUUCCUGCGAUUGUAACUAUAAGGUUUGUAUCAGUUAUUGCACACACGUACACAUUUUAAUUAUUGACUAUAUUGGUUUCAAGUUCUAAGUUAUUAUCAACAUCCGUAUAAAAUAAUGAACAGUGGAGAGAAACACAAAUGUAAACAUUGCAUUAAGAAAGUAACUGUACAGGUACGUACAUGGGACAAAUUGAAACUGGUAACCCAAUUAAUGAAACCUUCUUUGGCGUCAGGUGGUUAAAAUCACACGAACUUUCGACCGGGCUCUCCUCGGCCAUUGUCAAGUGGUGUUUUCAGACAUAUUUAUUUCUAUAGCUUCUUUUAUGACUCUAUUCCAAAACCCACUCGUCCUCAUAAUGACAGGGGUUCUUCGAAAUUAAUCGGGUAUCGAUUUUCCGAAUUGUAUCCUGCCAUGGCUGAUUUUUCAGGGCAGCGUACGUGUAAGCAGCUCUCUUGUUCCUUCCAGCUUCACGGUGCGUACUGUUUGGUCGACGUAGCAGCAGCGACGUCAUGGUAUCUUCUAGAAGUCAGAAAGCCUGGAGUGUAAAUCGUCCUUCACCGGCCCCGUGAGCCGUACUACUUUUGAUGGGGGCCUCAACACUGAUGAAACGUUGUGUCUCUUCAGAAGCCGAGUAAUAUUUCCCGACACUGCUACACAGAAACACAGGUUUCUUGUUCUCCACUUCCGUCGUGUUUCCCCAGCGUGUCUGGCCAGAAAUAGUGAGUAUUACCUGGCGGUGACUAGUCGUUUUCCCACAAGACUUUUCGGAGGUGGCUUAGUUAUAGUUACAGGUUUUCAGCGACGUGACUUUAGAACGGUGGACGAGGGUGAUCUGAACGGCAGACCCCCAACAAGAUUUUAUAAAUGGGCAUCGCCGCGAGACGAUGCAUUCGUACAUCGGUAGCGUAAUGUAUCUUGGCCGACGCUUGCAUCAGUCUAAGGUAGGAGCAAACGUAUCUUGACGACUCGUACUAGAGGACCCAGCAGCAGCAGUCAGCAAUCCGUCCUCAGGCCACAAGCGGCCCAUCGGGACCGUCCGACCGCUGUGUCAUCCUCAAUUGAGGUUCGGAUAGGAGGGGCGUGUUGUCAGCACACCGCUCUCCCGGUUGUUAUGAUGGUUUUCCGUGACCGAAGCUGCUACUAUUCGGUCGAGUAGCUCCUCAAUUGGCAUUACGAGGCUGAGUGCACCCCGAAAAAUGGCAACAGCGCAUUGCGACCCGAAUGGUCACCCAUCCAAGUGCCGGCCACGCCCGACAGUGCUUAACUUCGGUGAUCUGAACACUUCAGCUGAAGAUUUGACACAUUUAAGCGAUGUCUUAAAAUAUUAAAAAAUAUUGUUUUUUUAAAUAGACUUUGGUGGAUGAAAAAGCACUCCGUCUUCAGGCCACGAGUGGCAUACCGGGACCAUCCGACCGCCGUGUCAUCCUGAGUGGAGAAUGAGGAUAGGAGGGGCGUGGGGUCAGCUCACCGUUCUUCCGGUCGUUACGAUGGUAUUCUCGACCGAAGCCGCGACUGUUCGGUCGAGUUGCUCCUCAAUUGGCAUCACGAGGCUGAGUGCACCCCGAAAAAUGGCAACAGCACAUGGCGGCCUGGAUGGUCACCCAUCCAAGUGCCGACCACGCCCGACAGCGCUUAACUUCGGUGAUCUCACGGGAACCGGUGUAUCCACUGCAGCAAGGCCAUUGCCCUCUGGUGGAUAACUAUUACGAAUAUUAAAGCUUUUUGGAUGUUUUUAUAUUAGAACUAGUAUAUAAUUACCCAAGGCAAUGUUAACACUCUGCCGUCCGGCGACACCACAGUGGUGUCGUGAGCAAAUUAUCGCGCAGUGGCCGGCCACAGCAGUUUAAUAUCUUUUGUUUUCCACUGGUGUUUUGUUGAGGUAACAAUAAGUUACACACAUCAACAAGUUUUUUGUUUUUAUAAGUAGUUGUGCCCUUUCAUCAUGGCAGACGAAAGAGACGGUACGAUUAUUUACGAUCAAUGCGCGGAGCAAAACUUUGAGGUUGCCACUACAUCGCGUACGUCUCAUCAUGAUCCGGUUGACAGACUUUCCGGUCACAUAAAGCAACACCAACUAACAGGUAUACGUAUUUCCGAAACCAAUAAACGAAAAACGAAGAAACUUCCAUGUAUGUUACAAAAACAAAAAAAAGAACAUUAAACUUAAUGUGCAAUCUUGUCGAGUUGCGUUACAUCCUGGAGACUGUUUUGCUGCAUAUCACACGAAAGAGAAAUAUUAAGUACGUAAGACAAAAAUGUUCAAAUGUGUGUGAAAUCCUAUGGGACUUUAGGUCGUCAGUUCCUAAGCUUACACACUACUUAACCUAAAUUAUCCUAAGUAUAAACUCACACACACACACACACACACACACACACACACACACACACACACACACAUGCCCGAGGGAGGACUCGAACCUCCACCGGGACCAGCCGCACACUCCAAGACUGCAGCGCCUUCAGACCGCUCGGCUGAUCCCGCGCGGCUUCCAAAGACAAUGGAAAUAAAUAUAUGAAACAAACAAAUUUUGUAUUUAUUUACGUAUGUAUAUCUUCGAAAUUUCAUGUUAAGUAAGGGAAUAGUGUUGAGAUGAGAUGAGAUUAGUAAAACGUAACAAUUUAUAAUCUCUCGAUUAUGUCAGGAACGGCCGGUGACAAGCCAAGUAAUCCGAAUUAGCACUGCCGGCGCCAAGAGAAUAAAUUUGUGUGAGACGUGACGACGGCAAAGUAUUAACAGAGCUGUUGUAUGAUGAAGAUGCUGGUGGUGCAUCAAAAUAAUGAUGAUAUGGAAGUGGAACGAUGAGUAAGACUGUUGGACACUGUGGAACCGCUGCUAGUCAUUAAAAGUCAUUGAGGGGAAGGAGGAAAGUGGAAUGGUUGCGUAAGGUGUGGCGUUCUUACUGCGGCUAGACAGAAGGAUAAAUCUCGGGACGAAUUUCGUGAUUGGGUAGUAGAGGUUUGUUGAAGUUGCGGUGUGACAGGAUGGAUAGGACAUGGGAAAGGGGGGGGGGGUGCAUGCAAGAUGGGAUACGGAUGCAGUGUCGUUGCAAGGUGCCUGGAUUGCUGAGUAGUGGUGAGGGUACUGGGUGAAUGGGGCCGGCCAGCGAAAGUCCUUACACAGCCAUACGUGUCUGUGCGAGCUAACGCAAUUUCAUUUGCGCGUGUGAUUUAAAGUUAGGCUGACGCAGAAUAAUACAGCAGAUGAGAGGGCUUUACAUUACGGAAGAGCAGUCCAGAAUUAUCGAAAAACGUUUUAGAGAAUUAUUAAGUAAUUAAAUAGCGUUUUCACAGGCAUGCCGAGUAAUAGGAUGACGUAGUUUCGGGGGGUGGUCCUGUUGGGGUACAUGACAGAGACGUGCCCGGCGCCGAUUGAUGGAACCGACGCCAUCCCACUGGUCGGGAAGCAUAGAGAUGGUAAGCGAAGGCAGAGUCAGCGACGCCUUUUGAUACUGUAGAGAAGCGAAAAAAGUUCUCGUGGGCGAGCCUGACACAGGUUGCUACGCGCCCACAGUUAUGUUGGGCUGCAGAGCGUUUCUACACUGUUCCUUGUCUUAUACACAAAUUGAUAAUGACUGAUAAGAAGAUACUGAUAUAGCCAAUUAAAAAAAAGUGGAGUUUGCGUUGACUGAAAUAAACUUUAUAGUCCAAGUUAAUGAGAUCACAGCAACAUGGCAAAUAUGAUUGUUUUAUGUGGUCGUUCUUUUUACUUUUAGUGCCCCCUGCGCGAAGUCCUGCCGCUGUUACGGUGUCUUUUGUUUUUACUGUCUAAAUGAAACGGCGAUUUUGCACCUAGUUGUCCUGUCUAUACUAUCUCCACCAAACACAUGUGUCUUCUUUUGCCGUUCUAGCUGAAAGCCCGUUUGCGAGUAAAGAUUUCGGUUUCUCUCCGCAGCAUCUGUCUAUCAUCGGAUGAGCUUUCACGUAUUGACACAGUUUUGCCUUCUCUUCCGUCAUACAUGAAAAAGUCGGCUGGAGGUAAAGAGGUUCAGACAGUCCGUACAACUUUGCGUUCUCUUGUCGUACGCAACAAGGAACGUGCAUAUAGGCACUAAUUCUCAGUAAGAGCUCAAUAUAUGGCCUAUCACAGCAACUGAACUGCAGUUUCGAACGAGCACUCAGCUGCGCGAGAAAGUAGAUCUCGGGCUAAGUGCCGUAACAACAACAUAUCGUCAGAAAGAAACUUCUGUAGUCUUGAUCAGUGAUUUGUAUACUUUUCUACUACACUGCUUAAUUUUUCCUUCUGAACCGAUGUUGUGAACUACGUUAUGCGAUACUGUUGGGCUAAUCCUGAAGUUGCAAACAGUAAAAAACAAAACGGAAAAGGACAGUAAAGAGGAAACUUGAAAUGAAUUGGAAACUUUGUUUCUGCUACUACAUUAUGUAAUAAAGUACUUUCACUGAA
Schistocerca serialis cubense is the source of this 6595-nucleotide long non-coding RNA. RefSeq lists it as uncharacterized. The transcript is spliced from 3 exons. The record is from RefSeq and is a predicted model, not a curated record. NCBI's taxonomy places the organism in Eukaryota, Metazoa, Arthropoda, Insecta, Orthoptera, Acrididae.